GACGAACGCUGGCGGCGUGCUUAACACAUGCAAGUCGAACGGAAAGGCCCUGCUUUUGUGGGGUGCUCGAGUGGCGAACGGGUGAGUAACACGUGAGUAACCUGCCCUUGACUUUGGGAUAACUUCAGGAAACUGGGGCUAAUACCGGAUAGGAGCUCCUGCUGCAUGGUGGGGGUUGGAAAUUUUCGGCGGUCGGGGAUGGACUCGCGGCUUAUGAGCUUGUUAGUUGGGUAGGUGCUGACCAAGGCUUAGACGGGUAGCCGGCAUGAGAGGGUGACCGGCCACAUGGGGACUGCGAGACGGCCCAGACUCCUACGGGAGGCAGCAGUGGGGAAUAUUGCACAAUGGGCGGAAGCCUGAUGCAGCAACGCCGCGGGCGGGAUGACGGCCUUCGGGUUGUAAACCGCUUUCGCCUGUGACGAAGCGUGAGUGACGGUAAUGGGUAAAGAAGCACCGGCUAACUACGUG
Molecule: ribosomal RNA, 468 nt
Filed under: uncultured bacterium
Lineage: Bacteria
Description: partial 16S ribosomal RNA
Rfam family: Bacterial small subunit ribosomal RNA
Source: RNAcentral